RNAcentral lists this long non-coding RNA (329 nucleotides) under Brassica napus (rape). RNAcentral's name for it is "long non-coding RNA (BNAP_LNC004610)". Lineage: Eukaryota; Viridiplantae; Streptophyta; Magnoliopsida; Brassicales; Brassicaceae. The record is from RNAcentral.
UCUUCCCUUUUACAUUUCUUCAAUUUCUCAAAGAACAAAAAGAAAAGAUAUAAGAAGAAUCUUGGUUGGAGAUAAAUUUUAUACUGAUAAAAAAAAAAUAAGAAUCGAAAGAAUAAGAGGAAGAAGAAGAAGAAGAAAAAAGAAUUAAAUACUUAUUAGAGAUAUAUUUUACAUUAUAGAAGAUACAAAAUAUGAAUUAGUUUGUCACUGUGGUGUGGUUGAGGGUCACAAUAUUCCUUGAAUCAAUCAGGGCUCGAAACCCCUCUUCAACAGUAUUGAAAAAAAUAUAUAUUUUAAAAUAAUUAUUAUAUUAAAUUGUAAUAAACAGC